UGCCUCAAUAGAUUGCUCACU
Molecule: non-coding RNA, 21 nt
Filed under: Caenorhabditis elegans
Lineage: Eukaryota; Metazoa; Nematoda; Chromadorea; Rhabditida; Rhabditidae
Source: RNAcentral